ACUCCGUGCCAGCAGCCGCGGUAAUACGGAGGGGGCUAGCGUUGUUCGGAAUUACUGGGCGUAAAGAGUACGUAGGUGGUUUGCCAAGUCCGAUGUGAAAUCUCCUGGCUUAACUGGGAGGGUGCAUUAGAUACUGGCAGGCUUGAAUGUGGGAGAGGAGAGCGGAAUUCCUGGUGUAGCGGUGAAAUGCGUAGAUAUCAGGAGGAACGCCUGUGGUGUAGACGGCUCUCUGGACCAUUAUUGACACUGAGGUACGAAAGCGUGGGUAGCAAACAGGAUUAGAUACCCUGGUAGUCCACGCCGUAAACGAUGAGUGCUAAGUGUUAGGGGGUUUCCGCCCCUUAGUGCUGCAGCUAACGCAUUAAGCACUCCGCCUGGGGAGUACGGCCGCAAG
This 394-nucleotide ribosomal RNA is filed under the name Astrosyne radiata. RNAcentral's name for it is "partial Bacterial small subunit ribosomal RNA". It matches the Rfam family "Bacterial small subunit ribosomal RNA", at positions 500 to 892 of the family's 1533-position model. The record is from RNAcentral. Lineage: Eukaryota; Bacillariophyta; Fragilariophyceae; Cyclophorales; Cyclophoraceae.